UUGUGCUUUCUUUUAAAUAAUACAAUGUUUAUGGUCAUCACUGUCACUGGAAAAAUAACCAAUUACACUUGCACAACAGGAGGGCGCAACCUGUUCAUUUUAAGUUUAUUAGACUCGAUUUGCAGCGCUGUAAUUCACAAAAAUCACCACAGGGGGGCGCAACACAUUCAUGUUCAUUAGAUUGAAUUUGAAGCAGUGUAAUUCACAAAAAUCACCACAGGGGGGCUUAACCCAUGUAAAUUCACUUCAAAAGUCAGAUGAUUGAAACGGGCCCUCUUGUGGUGAUUUCUGUGAAUUGCACCGCUGCAAAAAGUGUCAAACUAAUACUCUUCAGCUCCACGGAGCUCGUAUCCAUGUGUAUAUGAAUGAAGUAACUCAGGCUGGGUAGAAGAUGGUCACAGCAUCUGUGGGAUUUAAACACGCUUCUGUUGACGUUUAAUGACUGAAAGUCUCAAAUGUGAUGUUGACGCUUGAAUGCGAAGAGCAGCAGAAUGACAGAAACUGAAGUGCGGUUUUUCAUCCGCUCCACUAGGCGGCGCAAGCGGGUUUCGCCUUCAGUCUGACGCCUUCAGCUGCUUGACAACAUGACGCUUGAGAGUCACAACAACAACACGUGCAGAUCCUGCAGAUGACAGCUGUUUAUAUCACUAACAACACACGUUUCAGCUCAACUGCAAAUAAAAUCGACACAAAAUCCGACGAGACGCUGGAACCGAGUGUCACGCGACUCACCUAAUAAGUGAUGUGUUGUUGGUUGUAAACUGGUCCGGCUGAAGCAGAGCUCUGGGACGUGUGGACAGACAUUGACUGUAAUGAUGGACAUCUGCUCAGGGACAGUCUGUCUAAAAGUAUAACCGCUGCGUGUCACGGUGCUGGGAGCUCCAGGGGGAGACCGUGCUGAUAUCCCCCUUCUUCAGGCACGCCUUCACACACACUCCAGCAUUCACUCGUAUCGCAGAGACCUGGCUGGGAUCAAACCAGCAACCUCUGAACCCGUGAGGCAGCGCUCUUACCUGCGAGCCACAGGUCUCUUGCUGGAGCACAUGAAGGAACUUAUAUCUGACUGUUUACCUGUGAUUUCUCAAUAAAACGCUUAAAGUAAUCAGUGGGAUUUGAAUCCACAUCUCCAGCUCAGCUUUGUGUUCAGAGAACAUGUGUUUAUUCACUGGACCGUCAUGGAUUUCACAUUGAUUUGUGGAGUUUGAGUGACUUUGUUGGAUGAGAUCAGUUUAAAGUGAG
Sinocyclocheilus rhinocerous is the source of this 1239-nucleotide long non-coding RNA. RefSeq lists it as uncharacterized. The record is from RefSeq and is a predicted model, not a curated record. The transcript is spliced from 3 exons. Lineage: Eukaryota; Metazoa; Chordata; Actinopteri; Cypriniformes; Cyprinidae.